This is a long non-coding RNA of Cyprinus carpio carpio, 1318 nucleotides long. NCBI's taxonomy places the organism in Eukaryota, Metazoa, Chordata, Actinopteri, Cypriniformes, Cyprinidae. The record is from Ensembl.
GCUCUUGUGUUUGAUCACUCCACUGAUGAUCUGUAGUUUAUAAAGUCCAGAGUGUAAUUUGUUGAUGUUUGUGAUGGUCAGAGAUCCUGUCUGCUCAUCUAUCUUUAGUUUGUCUCUGAAUCUCUCAUUCUCCCCACUAUCAUACAUAGAAAUGAUGUGUUUAUAGAUUUCAGCGAUACGAGUCUCUGAACUGUUAAGUCUAAAUGACCACAGUAUCUGAUCAUUUUUCUGUAGUUCAGUAACAUCAGUGUUUAAAGUGACAGAAUCUCCCUCCAUCACUGAUAUCAUCAUGGUUUCAUCUGAAUAAACAUCAGACACACCUGGUAGAAAAGAAUCGGCAAAACAGUCACAGAUUAUCACCACAGAUAUCUUACAGAGUUUAUUUGAAAACAAAAAUAAAACUCCAUUACAAUUUCUUUAACAUAAGAAUUUAUAAGUAUGAAAAAAAAGAACAAAAGUAUCAAGCUUCAUUUUUACACAACUUAUACAAUAAACAGCAUGAUAAUGAAAUGUGGGGAUAGGGACAGUUCUCCUAAAAUGAAGUUUCUGUCAUCAUUUACUCACCCUCAUGUUAUUCCAAACCUGUAUGACUGAUUUCCAUCUGUGGAGCACAAGAGAAGAUAAUCUGUGUUUUCUUUGUCAAACAGUGAAAGUCAAUUGUUGUUUGGACCUCACUGUUCUUCAGAAUAUCUUCUUUGUUCCGCAGAUAAAGAACAUUAAACACAUAAAGGUGAAGAAAUUAUGACUCUUUUCACUAGUCGUCAAAUAUGGGUUUAUUCUCUUUGGUGCUAUACUGUAUUUCCCACUUUUGUGAAUGUUUAAAAAAGAGAAAUCAGCAAAAUACCUUGUUUUGCAGGCUAUUCCACAUACAGGUCUUACAGGUUUGGAAACACAUGAUGGAGAGCAAAUAACAAUUUUGGGCUAAAAACUAAAGUGAUUAAAUGGCAUGUAGGCUUUAGAUGAAGUUAAAUAUAUUUUGGCAAACUGUACAUCUUUUAACAUGCUGUAAACUGCACAUUCAAUUUAUUAUUUUUACAUUCCUGGGUAUACGUCUUCAUUCCCUAUAGGCGAAAAUUCAACGAAGAAGACGUUUUAGUUUAACAAGCAUUCCUGUUUCCAUUCAAACUGUUAGAACAUACUGGAAUUUGAUGGUAUAGUCUAUAGGAAAUAAAUGAAGCAAUUAAAACAUUACUUACCUCCCAAAAGCCACAGACAUAAACAGAAAAAUGCACGAAAAACCAUUUUCGUUAAAAGCCAAAACAGUCUGAAAGCAUAAACCGAGACAUUUCUGAGAAUAAUAUUCAGAGGUCUGUUCAAC